This 67-nucleotide transfer RNA is filed under the name Alitta succinea. RNAcentral describes it as "tRNA-Asn". The record is from RNAcentral. Lineage: Eukaryota; Metazoa; Annelida; Polychaeta; Phyllodocida; Nereididae.
UAAACGGAAGCCAAUAGAGGCAUUUAUCUGUUACAUAAACCACUGCUGUACCUACCAGCCCGUUUAG